This 98-nucleotide signal recognition particle RNA is filed under the name Campylobacter sp. Its description in RNAcentral is "signal recognition particle sRNA small type". It matches the Rfam family "Bacterial small signal recognition particle RNA". From Rfam's summary of the family: The signal recognition particle (SRP) is a universally conserved ribonucleoprotein involved in the co-translational targeting of proteins to membranes. Archaeal SRP consists of a 7S RNA and homologues of the eukaryotic SRP19 and SRP54 proteins. Lineage: Bacteria; Pseudomonadati; Campylobacterota; Epsilonproteobacteria; Campylobacterales; Campylobacteraceae. The record is from RNAcentral.
UUCUUAGACCUGUGCAACACUUGUUUUAAACAUCGCUUCAGGGUAGGAAUACAGCAGAGCACUUAUUACUUGCGUGUGCCGCAGCCAUCUGGGAAGAG